GACGAACGCUGGCGGCGUGCUUAACACAUGCAAGUCGAACGGAAAGGCCCUGCUUGCAGGGUACUCGAGUGGCGAACGGGUGAGUAACACGUGGGUGAUCUGCCCUGCACUUCGGGAUAAGCCUGGGAAACUGGGUCUAAUACCGGAUAGGAGCCAUUUUUAGUGUGAUGGUUGGAAAGUUUUUUCGGUGUAGGAUGAGCUCGCGGCCUAUCAGCUUGUUGGUGGGGUAAUGGCCUACCAAGGCGGCGACGGGUAGCCGGCCUGAGAGGGUGGACGGCCACAGUGGGACUGAGAGACGGCCCAGACUCCUACGGGAGGCAGCAGUGGGGAAUAUUGCACAAUGGGCGCAAGCCUGAUGCAGCGACGCCGCGUGGGGGAUGACGGCCUUCGGGUUGUAAACUCCUUUCGCUAGGGACGAAGCUUUUUGUGACGGUACCUAGAUAAGAAGCACCGGCUAACUACGUG
RNAcentral lists this ribosomal RNA (465 nucleotides) under uncultured bacterium. RNAcentral describes it as "partial 16S ribosomal RNA". It matches the Rfam family "Bacterial small subunit ribosomal RNA", at positions 28 to 507 of the family's 1533-position model. The record is from RNAcentral.